This 268-nucleotide ribosomal RNA is filed under the name uncultured prokaryote. RNAcentral's name for it is "partial 16S ribosomal RNA". It matches the Rfam family "Bacterial small subunit ribosomal RNA", at positions 524 to 792 of the family's 1533-position model. The record is from RNAcentral.
UACGUAUGGGGCAAGCGUUAUCCGGAAUUAUUGGGCGUAAAGAGUGCGUAGGUGGUUACCUAAGCGCAAGGUUUAAUCUUGAGGCUCAACCUCAUUCUGCCUUGCGAACUGGGCUACUUGAGUGCAGGAGGGGAAAGCGGAAUUCCUAGUGUAGCGGUGAAAUGCGUAGAUAUUACACAGAACACCAAUUGCGUAGGCAGCUUACUGAGCCGACACUGACGCUGAGGCACGAAAGCGUGGGGAUCAAACAGGAUUAGAUACCCCGGUA